Molecule: non-coding RNA, 340 nt
Organism: Sturnus vulgaris (Common starling)
Lineage: Eukaryota; Metazoa; Chordata; Aves; Passeriformes; Sturnidae
Source: RefSeq, a predicted model, not a curated record
AAUCUGCGAUUAAUACAGAGCGGGGGUCGUGAUGGUUCGUUUGAUCUCAGAGGUGCAAACAGGCAAAAUGCAGGGGACAAAUCAGUUUAUUCAACAACAGCAAUUCAUUUUUAUUAAAUGCCAACAACUCAGUUGCAAUAGAGGGGAGAGAUAUAGGAAACAAAGUAUAGAGAGAGAAAAAGAAGGGGAUGGGAAAAUAGCUACCAACAAGACGAGACGGACAUCCUCAUGGGCCAGCCAAUAGACGAGUCUUCAUCCGUGGGGAGAUCUCAAAGGGUCUUCUCCAGAGGAUAGACGAGUCUUCAUCCGUGGGGAGAUCUCCAAGGGUCUUCUCCAGAGG